UUUUCUUUGAGAUGCGCAGUGUUGUGGGGUCGGGAUGGUUGACUGUUGUUGUUUGGUAGAGCAUCAAAUACUAAUUUUCCCUACGUUACCGUAUUUUAAUAAUAGAAUGGAGUUGGUACUGUAAUAUCCAGAAACAGUAAUUAAUGAAAGUACUGCUGUAACGGGUGUCAGUAGUCGUUUGUGUUCGACGUUGUGUUAUCUGGAGAGCACGCCGACAUUGUUCCAUAGAAGAAUGUGUUGGCCAACAAAAAAGGCUCACAGGGGCCAGAGUUCAGCUGUGCUCACGUAAACUGCCGAGCUGUUUCCUGUUUUCUGUGCGACUCCACCCGGCGGCUCUGAACCAUUCAUUCCCAGCUGCAAGUAGCAGAGCACUCAUCACAUCACCAUGGUGCGCCGGGACUUGUUUUUAAGGUUGGAAAAGACUUGCGCAUGUGCAAUACAAAGGGUACCCUCCGGCAGCUCACACCCAUCCAAGAGAACUACUUUCCAAUCGUAUAAUCUAGGGCUUCUUGCUUAGAUACACAGAGAUGGACCACAAGCACACACAAACAUGAACAUCAUCACAAUGUCAAUUGGGGAAACUUUCCAAAAGUUACCAAUCACUGGUCCACUGAUGUAGUUGUCUAGUUGGGCAGGGACACCCUGGAGGAUCGUGUUCCUGAAGGCCUUGCUCUCUACCACCUUCCCAUGAAUCCCAUCAAUGACCGUCAGCUGCACACCAUCUUCUGCUUGGUACAACUUCCUCCCAUUGACCUGGAAACCAGCCAAAUACAAGAUCCUGAGCUACACGACACACCAUUCAACUUUUAUUGUUGUAGUAGCUGCCUGCGUUUCCUGUUUGUGCUUCAUUUUAGCAGCUUUAAAGGGGAACUGCACUUUUUGGGGAAUUUUGCCUAUUGUUCACAAUCAUUCUGAAAGAUAUGACGACGGACAGAUUUUUUUUUUAAUGCAUUCUAACUUGUAAAUAAAAGUCUGCUUACAGCGGAGCCAAUGGGAGCGCCUCUAUUUGCCCAUAAAAUCCAAUAAAUAACCAUUUCAAAAAGUGCCAACAAUACUCCAUUUACAUUUCGUGAUUUGAAUAUUAACUAAGUAUUAGUGAUAUUGUUAUUAUAAGCACUAUCGCAGACGAAAAAAUUAUAGCAGCGCCGUGAUCAUUUUUGUGUGUCCCUGUUUACAUCAUCGCGUGGUCUGCUGCUUCCUUGCUCCCUGUAAGUUAAUUGUAGAUCAUAAAUCAUGCAUCUCACCUGGACAUGAUAAGUCUGAGUAGAUAUUCCGACAAGUUGGUACACUUUGACAGCCAUUUAGGACCCGAAACUGGCGACGACGACACGAAAAAAACGCUUGUUCCCAACCGCCCCAUCACCCUGUUUCUUCGUGACUAUUAUGAGACAUUCUUCACUUAAAUAGGAAUAAAUGAACAUCCCAGCAGUUGGCAUCCUAAUGACAGCAGACCUUACACAGAAAGUGAUGUUUUAUUAUGUCUGUUGGCUCUCAUAAAGUCUGCAGUGAGCAGAAAUCGGUGAUGUAGAAAAAAAAGAAGCAAAUAGGUAAAUAUUAAAUGUCAUUAUAAAUGUUCUUUUCUCGAGGCAGCGCAUAGCCGCUUUGACGACUCCAAUAAUAAAACACAGAUUGUGAAGGUCAUUAAAGAAGUGCAACUCUCCCGCCAUACUACUACAAGGCGAUGCAAGGGAAUGGCUGUGGCUGUGGAGGAGCAACUGAGGAAGGAUACUGAUGCAUUUCGGACCAGGAAUCGUCAGAGAAGGCUUUUCCAUGCUCACUUGGAGGAGAAUGAUGUUGAGCACAAAGAUCUGCAGAUCACGUGGUUGU
This is a long non-coding RNA of Nerophis lumbriciformis (worm pipefish), 1827 nucleotides long. RefSeq lists it as uncharacterized. Lineage: Eukaryota; Metazoa; Chordata; Actinopteri; Syngnathiformes; Syngnathidae. The record is from RefSeq and is a predicted model, not a curated record.